ACGAUACAAGAACACCCUUUGGGACAAAUAUUGUACCCAAAGAAACCUCACAAACACUCUUGUAUAAUAUACACUCUAAUUUUUGGACACUGACUACCACUCACCAAAUUGUGAGUAACUCUCAAAAUUCUCUCUCGGAUAUAACGCAAAAGAAAUUGUGUUUGUGUUGGUGUUUUUAGCUUGCUCCCGAAUGGCCUUUAUAUAGGCAAAGAAUGUGGUGAAAAAGACAUGGUGGUGGGGUUGGUGACCUACCAAUUUGAACAAAUGAUGUGGUUGGUGACCUACCAAUUUGAACAAAUGAUGUGGUUGGUGACCUACCAAUUUGAACAAGAUUGUGGUUGGUGACCUACCAAUUUGAACAAAAAAUUGUGGCUGUACCUUUUAACAUGGUUGAGAGAUUAUUCAACAAAUGCAGCAGUAAAACGAAAAUUAAAACCUAGAAAAACUAGCGACAAAAUGCCACCAACAUUUUAGCCGAAAACUCAAUGAAAACAACUUGAAAAUCAGUCCAAAACAUAAAACAACAACAUUAAAGGGUAUUUAUAACUUUAGUUUACCUUGACGAGAAGGAGAAUGGAAUCCUACUAGCGUUGACACAGAUACACAAGAGAAGACAGAUUAUAAGCUACGAAGCCCAAUUUUUUUAUUAUCUAUUGAGUUUUGCGCUGCUCUGUAUAUAGUGUUAAUUUCAGAACGUCUUCACCGAUUGAGCAGCGGCCAGUUGCAGCGGAGCUCUAUUUGUUCGUGAUUCUUUCCCUCUUCUUUGCUGAAGUCGUUGUGCGUGUUUUGGGAUAGCAAUUAGGCGAGAGAUUGUAGGGAUAGUUAUGUGGGAUAGUUGGUUGACA
RNAcentral lists this long non-coding RNA (845 nucleotides) under Nicotiana benthamiana. RNAcentral describes it as "long non-coding RNA (NBEN_LNC034119)". The record is from RNAcentral. Lineage: Eukaryota; Viridiplantae; Streptophyta; Magnoliopsida; Solanales; Solanaceae.